This 383-nucleotide ribosomal RNA is filed under the name Salmonella enterica subsp. enterica serovar Newport. RNAcentral describes it as "partial 23S ribosomal RNA". It matches the Rfam family "Bacterial large subunit ribosomal RNA", at positions 911 to 1290 of the family's 2925-position model. Lineage: Bacteria; Pseudomonadati; Pseudomonadota; Gammaproteobacteria; Enterobacterales; Enterobacteriaceae. The record is from RNAcentral.
UGUUUCGGCUAGGGGGCCAUCCCGGCUUACCAACCCGAUGCAAACUGCGAAUACCGGAGAAUGUUAUCACGGGAGACACACGGCGGGUGCUAACGUCCGUCGUGAAGAGGGAAACAACCCAGACCGCCAGCUAAGGUCCCAAAGUCAUGGUUAAGUGGGAAACGAUGUGGGAAGGCCCAGACAGCCAGGAUGUUGGCUUAGAAGCAGCCAUCAUUUAAAGAAAGCGUAAUAGCUCACUGGUCGAGUCGGCCUGCGCGGAAGAUGUAACGGGGCUAAACCAUGCACCGAAGCUGCGGCAGCGACACUGUGUGUUGUUGGGUAGGGGAGCGUUCUGUAAGCCUGUGAAGGUGUGUCGUGAGGCAUGCUGGAGGUAUCAGAAGUGC